This 581-nucleotide ribosomal RNA is filed under the name Saccharomonospora sp. YIM 75524. Its description in RNAcentral is "bacterial SSU rRNA". It matches the Rfam family "Bacterial small subunit ribosomal RNA", at positions 54 to 647 of the family's 1533-position model. The record is from RNAcentral. Lineage: Bacteria; Bacillati; Actinomycetota; Actinomycetes; Pseudonocardiales; Pseudonocardiaceae.
CAUGCAAGUCGAACGCUGAAGCCCAGCUUGCUGGGUGGAUGAGUGGCGAACGGGUGAGUAACACGUGGGUAAUCUGCCCCGUACUCCGGGAUAAGCCCGGGAAACUGGGUCUAAUACCGGAUAGGACACGCUAUCGCAUGGUGGUGUGUGGAAAGCUCCGGCGGUACGGGAUGAGCCCGCGGCCUAUCAGCUUGUUGGUGGGGUGAUGGCCUACCAAGGCGACGACGGGUAGCCGGCCUGAGAGGGUGACCGGCCACACUGGGACUGAGACACGGCCCAGACUCCUACGGGAGGCAGCAGUGGGGAAUAUUGCACAAUGGGCGCAAGCCUGAUGCAGCGACGCCGCGUGGGGGAUGACGGCCUUCGGGUUGUAAACCCCUUUCGCCCGGGACGAAGCGUAAGUGACGGUACCGGGAGAAGAAGCACCGGCCAACUACGUGCCAGCAGCCGCGGUAAUACGUAGGGUGCAAGCGUUGUCCGGAAUUAUUGGGCGUAAAGAGCUCGUAGGCGGUGUGUCACGUCUGCCGUGAAAACCUGCGGCUUAACCGUGGGCGUGCGGUGGAUACGGGCAUCACUUGAGU